UACGUAGGGUGCAAGCGUUGUCCGGAAUUAUUGGGCGUAAAGAGCUCGUAGGCGGUUUGUUGCGUCGGCUGUGAAAUCCCGAGGCUCAACCUCGGGUCUGCAGCCGAUACGAGCAAACUAGAGUGUUGCAGGGGAGACUGGAAUUCCUGGUGUAGCGGUGAAAUGCGCAGAUAUCAGGAGGAACACCGGUGGCGAAGGCGGGUCUCUGGGCAACAACUGACGCUGAGGAGCGAAAGCGUGGGGAGCGAACAGG
This 253-nucleotide ribosomal RNA is filed under the name uncultured bacterium. RNAcentral's name for it is "partial 16S ribosomal RNA". It matches the Rfam family "Bacterial small subunit ribosomal RNA", at positions 524 to 776 of the family's 1533-position model. The record is from RNAcentral.